RNAcentral lists this long non-coding RNA (3944 nucleotides) under Solanum tuberosum (potato). RNAcentral describes it as "long non-coding RNA (STUB_LNC002386)". Lineage: Eukaryota; Viridiplantae; Streptophyta; Magnoliopsida; Solanales; Solanaceae. The record is from RNAcentral.
UGUUUAUCAGCUUGGGUCGCAGAUGAGAACGCCGAAGGAUCACAUAUACUGAUGUUACUUGGUGCUUCAUGUGCACAUGCACAGUUGAGAAUGUGGACUACUUCCUGUUACAUUGCAAAAGUGGCAACACAGCUAUAGUGAGAGUGCUGAAUUGGUUGGGAAUACAGUGUACUAUGUCAGGCACAAUGAAGAAAGUUUCACAGCCCUAGGGAAGAAGGAAGAAGAGAUGUAGGGAUACGACAACAACAUACCCAAUAUAAUCCCACAAAGUGGGGUGAUAAAUGAAGAAGAGAUGUAGCUAUAAAUUCAAAAAGAAAAACCUUUUUUUUUGAGAUGGUAAAUUAAACAGAAAUGUUAUAAAAUGUCAUGUACUCCUCACAAAAGUGUUGUGAGAUCCCAAACAAUUGUAUGGCUAUUAAAAAAAAAUUGCUCUUACGGUUUUUACUUAUCCAAACUUCUGCUUCCAAGUUCCAACCUUUGAAAAUGAAUGAUACAAAAAAUUCUAUCUUGAUUUGAAUGUGUGAUCCCAAUUUAUUGGUUUAAAUACCUUGGGCACUAAGAAAGGUGUGAUCAUUAGCUUGAUCGCAGCUCGGGUCCAGUGCUGACAGCUGAGAACAUGAGAAUGUGAAGGAUCAGAUAUGUCAGGUGUCACCUGGGGUUUCAUGUGCAAAUUCACAGUUGAGAAUGUGGGCUACUUCCUGUAACAUUGCAAAGUGGCAAUACAACUGCGGUGAGAGUGUUGAGUUGGUUAAGAAUACAGUGUAUGAUGCCAGGCACAAUGAAGAAAGUUACACGGAUAGGCCUAGGGAGAAGGAAGAAGAGAUGUAGGGCUAUAAAAUUAAAACGAAAUAUAAGAAAUGUCAUAUACUCCACCCAAAAAUGUAAUGCAAUCCCGAACAAUAGAAUGACUAAAAAUUAAAAAGAAUUUGCUAUAGCUUUUCAUUUUCACUUAGCCAAACUUCUGCUUCCAAGUUCCAACCUUUGAAAGCAUGAUUCAGAAGACAAUUCUAUUUUGAUUUGCAUGUGUGAUCCCACAUUUAUUGAUUUAGAUACCUUGAACACCGAGAGAAGGGUGUGUUAUGAGCUUGUGUUGCAGAUUGGGUCCAGUGCUGACAGCCGAGAACAUGAGAACGCGAAGGAUCACAUACGUUAGCUGUCACCCAGUACAUGUGCAAAUGCACAGUUGAGAAUGCAGACUACUUCCUGUUAUAUUGCAAAAGUGGCAACACAACUAUGGUUAGAGUGCUGAAUUUUUGGAAUACAGUGGACAAUGCCGGGCACAAUGAAGAAAGUGACACAGAUACGCCUAGGGAGAAGGAAGAAGAGAUGUAGGGCUAUAAAUUAAAAAGAAAUGCUAUGAAAUGUCAUAUACUCCUCAAAAAUGUUAUGAGAUGCCAAAUAAUUGGCUAUAAUUUUUUUUUUAAAUCUCACAUCGUUUUCAGCUGGCCAAACUUCUACUUCCAAGUUACAACCUUUGAACGCAUGAUACAGAAGACAAUUCUAUUCUGAUUUGGAUGUGUGAUCCCAAAUUUAUUGGUUUAGAUACCUUGAGCACCAAGAAGGAUAUGUUUAUUAGCUUGGGUCACAACUCGGUCCAAUGCGGACAGCCGAGAACAUGAGAACGCAAAGGAUCACAUCUGUCAGCUGAUGCCUGGUGCUUCAUGUGCAAAUGCACAGUUGAUAGUGUGGACUACUUCCUGUUACAUUGCAAAAGUAGCAACACAGCUAUGGUGAGUGCGCUUAAUUGGUUCGGAAUACAGUGGAUGAUGCAAGGCACAAUGAAGAAAGUUACACAGCUAGGUCUGGGAUAUAAGGAAGAAGAGAUGUAGGACUAUAAACUAAAAAGAAAUGUUAUGAAAUGUCAUACACUCCUCCCAGAAAUGUUAUGAUAUCCCAAAUAAUAGUAUGUCUAUAAAUUAAAAAGAAUUUGCUACAGUUUUCAUUUAUGCAAUUAAAAAAAAUUGAUAAUGGUAACUGAUACAGAAAGACAAUUCUAUUUCAAUUGAAAUGAGUGGUCCCACAUUUAUUGGUUUAGGUACCUUGAGCACCGAGAAAUGUGUGUUUUAUUGCUUGAUUCGCAGAUGGGAUACCUUGAGCACCAAGAAAGGUUGUUUAAUAGCUUGGAUUUGUAACUCGGGCAGCACCAAGAAAGUGUGAUUGAUUGCUUCAAUUGCAGAGGUGGGAUAGCACCAAGAAAGGUGUAUUUAAUUGCUCAAAUCGCAGAUGGGGAGUGGUUCUGACAGUCGAGAACCUGAAAAGGCAAAGGAUCCAUAAGUCAAUUGUCUGCUGGUGCUUCAUGUGAAAAUGCUGUACUUCCUGUUACAUUGCAAUAGGCAACACAGCUGUGGUGGGAGUGUCAAAUUAGUUCAGAAUACAGUGGAUGAUGCUAAGCACCCAGCUGGGAUGUUCUCCAUUAGCACUAAUGUGAAAAAGAUAGGAAAAUUGGCAAAUAAUAAGCCAGACGCUCCGAUGUCAGCAGUAUAAAGUAUGCUCUUUUUGCUAUCUAUGUUGUAUUUAAAAAUGUCAACUAUGAUUAAACAUCCAAAAGAAAGUUUUAGAACACUUUCAUAGGAUUAGCUUUGAGAUCUUAUCUAAGAUUCUCAGAACAAGAAACAAGAAUCUAAUCAUUUCAAAUCAGCGAAGAAACAAAUCCAUAUACCAUCCAACAUUCGCCAACUAUCCAAAUCAUUCAAGAGAAACCCAGAUUGAGAGCGGAACGAGUGAAAACUUCCAAUAUUUGGGUCAACAAAACCGUUCAAUUAGUCAGUGCAUGCCUUUUCUGUUCUUGUUCGGAUGAAGCUUUAACCGAGGUUUAGGAUAGAAGUCGGACUAGAACUAAAAGAAUGAAGACUUUUAAAAUAGAUGCACAAGAAGGGAAAAGAAGGACAAGAAACUUUUUUUUAACUGGUAAAUGUGAAAGAAGAACGAGAAACUUCAUAUGUGUUGAGAGCUUAUACUUAAUUUCUCUUACUUUCCAAAUGUAUUUCAACAAAAACAAAGAAAAACAUAACGCCCAAAGGUAAGACACAGAAAGAAAGGAAACUUAUAGGCAAAUACCAAGGAUAUAAAGUUAAGGAUGAACAAUAAUCACAAAAAUCAGAGAAGAAAAACCAGAAAAAGGACAAAACUAAUUAAUGGAACAAGGGUUUGAGGGAGAAGUUACAUUACCUGGAUCCCUAUGUGCCAGCAAAUGCGCGGACAAGAUUUGCAGCAUACUGCAACUCAUUGGAAGGACCUUCCUACAAGGUCAUGCGAGCCAUCAAGGGCCCGCACUUAGGCGGGCCCAAUAGCUGUGUAUUGAAGUUCAUAAUUAGAAACCGCUAAAUAGAUUAACAAAAGAAUGAUUUUUUGCUUUUGAGACGAUGUGGUACAAAAUCGCAUGCAAAUCCUAUCAUACCUCCCUUCUUAAUAACUGCAUAUACAUUGCUGAAUUAAUAAAUUACCAUUUCUACAUUCAAAAUUUACAACUUUCCUUUACUACUUUUGAUACCAAAUCUACAAUAUAAAGUGUGUGAUCUCUAGAAAAGCGAUUCUCCUGAUCCUUGUUUAAGAUUGACAGAUUAUAGCAGCCUCCUAUAUUGAUUGUGGUUGAAUUAAUAUAUCUCUCAUACAAGUGCCUAAUGAAUGUGACUGUACAAGCUAAGUGGAUAGUCAUUGAGAAUUACAAUAGUAAUGAAUAGAACCUACCAGCUACCAUUAUCAUAAAAGUGGAGGAAUACAAAUUCAAAAAAAAAAUAGAUCAAUAGAGUACCUUUUUACACCCUAAUGCAAAUAAUUGCGACCGCUGAGGGGUCGCAAAUUACCAUCAAUUAGAUCAGACAGGAUAGAACAACCAAAGAGUACAACUGGCUUGACAAUGCGAUAUGCCAAUAUCUCCUAAAAGAGUGGGCAGUCAUUGCACUUGGUUUGUGAUAGAGAUAGAUAAAGACCAUAACAAAAUCCAA